Molecule: ribosomal RNA, 1202 nt
Filed under: Paeniglutamicibacter sulfureus
Lineage: Bacteria; Bacillati; Actinomycetota; Actinomycetes; Micrococcales; Micrococcaceae
Description: bacterial SSU rRNA
Rfam family: Bacterial small subunit ribosomal RNA
Source: RNAcentral
GAUUAGUGGCGAACGGGUGAGUAACACGUGAGUAACCUGCCCCUGACUCUGGGAUAAGCCUGGGAAACUGGGUCUAAUACCGGAUAUGCACCGUGGACCGCAUGGUUCUUGGUGGAAAGAUUUUUUGGUCAGGGAUGGACUCGCGGCCUAUCAGCUUGUUGGUGAGGUAAUGGCUCACCAAGGCGACGACCGGUAGCCGGCCCUGAGAGGGUGACCGGCCACACUGGGACUGAGACACGGCCCAGACUCCUACGGGAGGCAGCAGUGGGGAAUAUUGCACAAUGGGCGAAAGCCUGAUGCAGCGACGCCGCGUGAGGGAUGACGGCCUUCGGGUUGUAAACCUCUUUCAGUAGGGAAGAAGCGAAAGUGACGGUACCUGCAGAAGAAGCGCCGGCUAACUACGUGCCAGCAGCCGCGGUAAUACGUAGGGCGCAAGCGUUAUCCGGAAUUAUUGGGCGUAAAGAGCUCGUAGGCGGUUUGUCGCGUCUGCCGUGAAAGUCCGAGGCUCAACCUCGGAUCUGCGGUGGGUACGGGCAGACUAGAGUGAUGUAGGGGAGACUGGAAUUCCUGGNUGUAGCGGUGAAAUGCGCAGAUAUCAGGAGGAACACCGAUGGCGAAGGCAGGUCUCUGGGCAUUAACUGACGCUGAGGAGCGAAAGCAUGGGGAGCGAACAGGAUUAGAUACCCUGGUAGUCCAUGCCGUAAACGUUGGGCACUAGGUGUGGGGGACAUUCCACGUUUUCCGCGCCGUAGCUAACGCAUUAAGUGCCCCGCCUGGGGAGUACGGCCGCAAGGCUAAAACUCAAAGGAAUUGACGGGGGCCCGCACAAGCGGCGGAGCAUGCGGAUUAAUUCGAUGCAACGCGAAGAACCUUACCAAGGCUUGACAUGUGCCAGACCGCCGUGGAAACACGGUUUCCCCUUUGGGGCUGGUUCACAGGUGGUGCAUGGUUGUCGUCAGCUCGUGUCGUGAGAUGUUGGGUUAAGUCCCGCAACGAGCGCAACCCUCGUUCCAUGUUGCCAGCACGUAGUGGUGGGGACUCAUGGGAGACUGCCGGGGUCAACUCGGAGGAAGGUGGGGACGACGUCAAAUCAUCAUGCCCCUUAUGUCUUGGGCUUCACGCAUGCUACAAUGGCCGGUACAAUGGGUUGCGAUACUGUGAGGUGGAGCUAAUCCCAAAAAGCCGGUCUCAGUUCGGAUUGG